RNAcentral lists this non-coding RNA (162 nucleotides) under Kordiimonadales bacterium. RNAcentral describes it as "6S RNA". It matches the Rfam family "6S / SsrS RNA". Rfam says of the family: E. coli 6S RNA was the first non coding RNA to be sequenced, but its function was unknown until recently. It consists of 184 nucleotides that fold into an extended hairpin structure with a large single-stranded internal bulge. The 6S RNA specifically associates with RNA polymerase holoenzyme containing the sigma70 specificity factor. Lineage: Bacteria; Pseudomonadati; Pseudomonadota; Alphaproteobacteria; Kordiimonadales. The record is from RNAcentral.
CGGGUACUGCGCUGUGCGCAAGAUACGAAGUAAUCCCCGGGGCUAUAAGUUCUCUGAGGGAGCUGUCCCUGGUUCGGAUCGUGGUCCUUACCAUCACGGCGCCCACCUAAUUUAUUAGGCAUCGGAGGAUACAAACGUCAACGCGGCAGAGGUGGUCCCGCA